GUAGUUGCUUAAUAUGAAAUUUGUUUAAUGUUGAACUUGGUCAUGAGAUGUGAUAUAAAGUAAGGAAUGAAGGUUAGUGAAGGGAAAGGGAGGAACGAGAUUUAAUUGCAGAUAGGACUGGAUUCAAUUCUAAUCAAGAAAUGAAAGAUGAAGACCAGGCAGAGAUACACAUGAGAGUUUUUUUUUGUCAGAGCUGACAAAUAAAGGCCAUAUCUCUACAGGAGAGAGAGGCAGAACAGGUUUGGGUUCCGGGACUAUUAAAGGGAAGGCUCAGGAAUCAGAGCCAGAAGGGCCCUAAUGCAGGUGGUUAGGGGUUGGGUUGGUGUGAGAGAGUGGUGAGUCUUUCUCAAAAAUGCCCUUGGGCGGGAAAGCAAAACUUUUUCCUUAAAAUGGUUGUCACUUAAGAUGACCAUCCAGAUACUAAGCAAGGACUUUCUAGUUAGUUUGCAGGUUUUUUGUUUAAAUAACUGGGUGAAGGUUAAUGUGUUUUUCAUUGAUAUUAGAAUGUUAAAGGAAGAAGUAGGUGGGAAGUGAAAAAGGAACAGAAUAAGCUAGCAGUUCAGCUUUUUUUUUUUUUUUUUUUUUGAGGUGGAAUCUCACUAAGUUACUUAGGGCCUUGUUAAAUUGCUGAGGCAGGCCUUGAAUUUGUGAUCCUCCUGCCUUGGCCUUCCAAAUUGUUGAGAUUACAGGCAUGCCCCAUCAUGCCCAGAUAGCAUUCAGCUUUUGAACAUUUUGAGUUUAAGUGUCUAUGGUACAUAUGCCUGGAGAUGUCUGUUAAGCAGACAUAUAUG
Molecule: long non-coding RNA, 791 nt
Filed under: Marmota monax (woodchuck)
Lineage: Eukaryota; Metazoa; Chordata; Mammalia; Rodentia; Sciuridae
Source: RNAcentral